This 332-nucleotide ribosomal RNA is filed under the name uncultured eukaryote. RNAcentral describes it as "partial 18S ribosomal RNA". It matches the Rfam family "Eukaryotic small subunit ribosomal RNA", at positions 1470 to 1796 of the family's 1831-position model. The record is from RNAcentral.
CCCUUAGAUGUUCUGGGCUGCACACGUGCUACACUGGCAGGUUCAGCGAGCUUCAUGCCCUGAUCUGAAAGGAAUGGGAAAUCUUUUCAAAACCUGCCGUGCUUGGGAUAGAUGUUUGCAAUUAUUCAUCUUCAACGAGGAUUGCCAUGUAAGCGCACGUCAUCAGCGUGCAUUGAAUACGACCCUGUAUUCUGUACACACCGCCCGUCGCUCCUACCGAUUGAAGUUUUCGGUGAGUUGACAGGAGGAUUUUUUUGAAACUGGUUCGCCAGUGGAUUUUAGAUCCAAAUGCCAACGAAUCGAUGGCUUUAGAGGAAGGAGAAGUCGUAACA